UUCUCAUAAGGGAUGGCAAUAGGUGCAACCUGGCCAGACUCCCCUACGUAGAGCCAUACCUGUCUUCAUAGAGCCAAACAUGGCGUACUCUCCAUUUUCUUAGUUGCGAGGUGCACUUUUACAUUGGGACUCAAGCAAAACUUUAGGCAACACCAUUAUACAAAUGAGUUGUUACCCGUUUUCUCAUUGUCCUGUUACGUAACUUCC
Molecule: long non-coding RNA, 207 nt
Filed under: Prunus persica (peach)
Lineage: Eukaryota; Viridiplantae; Streptophyta; Magnoliopsida; Rosales; Rosaceae
Description: long non-coding RNA (PPER_LNC007704)
Source: RNAcentral